CCUACGGGGGGCUGCAGUGGGGAAUAUUGGACAAUGGGGGCAACCCUGAUCCAGCCAUGCCGCGUGUGUGAAGAAGGCCCUCGGGUUGUAAAGCACUUUCAGUGAGGAAGAACGCCUGGUGGUUAAUACCCAUCAGGAAAGACAUCACUCACAGAAGAAGCACCGGCUAACUCCGUGCCAGCAGCCGCGGUAAUACGGAGGGUGCGAGCGUUAAUCGGAAUUACUGGGCGUAAAGCGCGCGUAGGUGGCUUGAUAAGCCGGUUGUGAAAGCCCCGGGCUCAACCUGGGAACGGCAUCCGGAACUGUCAAGCUAGAGUGCAGGAGAGGAAGGUAGAAUUCCCGGUGUAGCGGUGAAAUGCGUAGAGAUCGGGAGGAAUACCAGUGGCGAAGGCGGCCUUCUGGACUGACGCUGACACUGAGGUGCGAAAGCGUGGGUAGCAAACAGGAUUAGAUACCCCAGUAGUC
Molecule: ribosomal RNA, 465 nt
Filed under: Vreelandella stevensii
Lineage: Bacteria; Pseudomonadati; Pseudomonadota; Gammaproteobacteria; Oceanospirillales; Halomonadaceae
Description: partial 16S ribosomal RNA
Rfam family: Bacterial small subunit ribosomal RNA
Source: RNAcentral